Molecule: transfer RNA, 72 nt
Filed under: Fukomys damarensis (Damara mole-rat)
Lineage: Eukaryota; Metazoa; Chordata; Mammalia; Rodentia; Bathyergidae
Rfam family: tRNA
About the family: Transfer RNA (tRNA) molecules are approximately 80 nucleotides in length.
Source: Rfam by way of RNAcentral
UGGGGUGUAGCUCAGUGGCAUGGUACUUGCCUGGCAUUCAGAAAGCCCUGGGUUCCAUCCCCAGCACCACAC